GCUUCGGUGGGCAAACUGGUAAAGCCGCAUCAUUAAGGAUGAUGUGUUUGAGGAUUCGACUUCCUCCCGAAGCACCA
RNAcentral lists this transfer RNA (77 nucleotides) under bacterium. RNAcentral describes it as "tRNA-Leu". The record is from RNAcentral.